This 428-nucleotide ribosomal RNA is filed under the name uncultured bacterium. RNAcentral describes it as "partial 16S ribosomal RNA". It matches the Rfam family "Bacterial small subunit ribosomal RNA", at positions 354 to 796 of the family's 1533-position model. The record is from RNAcentral.
GUGGGGAAUAUUGGGCAAUGGGCGCAAGCCUGACCCAGCAACGCCGCGUGAGGGAAGAAGGCUUUCGGGUUGUAAACCUCUGUCCUUGGUGACGAAAAAAAUGACGGUAGCCAAGGAGGAAGCCCCGGCUAACUACGUGCCAGCAGCCGCGGUAAUACGUAGGGGGCGAGCGUUGUCCGGAAUUACUGGGCGUAAAGGGUGCGUAGGUGGCCUUUUAAGUUGGAUGUGAAAUACCCGGGCUUAACUUGGGGGGUGCAUCCAAAACUGGGAGGCUAGAGUGCAGGAGAGGAAAGCGGAAUUCCUAGUGUAGCGGUGAAAUGCGUAGAUAUUAGGAGGAACACCAGUGGCGAAGGCGGCUUUCUGGACGAAAACUGACGCUGAGGCGCGAAAGCCAGGGGAGCGAACGGGAUUAGAUACCCGUGUAGUCC